Molecule: long non-coding RNA, 558 nt
Organism: Pararge aegeria (speckled wood butterfly)
Lineage: Eukaryota; Metazoa; Arthropoda; Insecta; Lepidoptera; Nymphalidae
Exons: 2
Source: RefSeq, a predicted model, not a curated record
UAAAAGCGUCAACAACUUCAAUAUCAUUUUGCUUGGUUGAACAUAAUAACUUCAAAUGCACAAACUGUCUAAGUGUUCUAUGCUCUUGCGUAUUUAGCAUUUAUAAUAAAGAUAUUUUUGGUACACAACUUUUGCUUGGGAUUAUUACCUGAGAAGAGAAAUAAAUGUACGAAAAUUUAACAGUAUACGCAGUGGCAACCUUGAGGAGGAAGCUGCCUCCUCAUCCAGCUAAGAUCAACACAUAUUACGUAUUCAUGGUGUCCUGGUAGGCAACCGGCACGCAACUGUCACUUGAUAAUCUGGCUGCGAUGAUGGUGAUGAGGAUGCACGAGGUCUCCAGUCGCAUCCCAAUGAACCGCUCAGAGUAUCGCCAGUCCGACCACAAGUAACACAACUCCCCAGAGCUGUGUUACUUGUCAUUGGGCUGGCGGUCAUCGUCACAGUGGCUGUUUAUAGUUGGUGGAGAUGUGUCAGGACAAUAUCUGCAAGUUACUGGACAAGCUGCCUACAAUACAUCAUGGAAUUCCACAAGUAAAGCCUGCUUCUAUCCAAACUGGA